UACAGAGGGUGCGAGCGUUAAUCGGAAUUACUGGGCGUAAAGCGCGCGUAGGCGGCUUCGCAAGUCGGAUGUGAAAUCCCCGGGCUUAACCCGGGAACUGCAUUCGAGACUGCGUUGCUAGAGUAUGGGAGAGGGAGGUGGAAUUUCAGGUGUAGCGGUGAAAUGCGUAGAUAUCUGAAGGAACAUCAGUGGCGAAAGCGACCUCCUGGACCAAUACUGACGCUCAUGUGCGAAAGCGUGGGGAGCAAACAGG
RNAcentral lists this ribosomal RNA (253 nucleotides) under uncultured bacterium. RNAcentral describes it as "partial 16S ribosomal RNA". It matches the Rfam family "Bacterial small subunit ribosomal RNA", at positions 524 to 776 of the family's 1533-position model. The record is from RNAcentral.